UACGUAGGGGGGCAAGCGUUGUCCGGAAUUAUUGGGCGUAAAGCGCGCGCAGGCGGUCAUUUAAGUCUGGUGUAUAAACCAAGGGCUCAACCUUUGGACGCAUUGGAAACUGGGUGACUGGAGUGUAGGAGAGGAAAGUGGAAUUCCACGUGUAGCGGUGAAAUGCGUAGAGAUGUGGAGGAACACCAGUGGCGAAGGCGACUUUCUGGCCUAUAACUGACGCUGAGGCGCGAAAAGCGUGGGGAGCAAACAGG
RNAcentral lists this ribosomal RNA (254 nucleotides) under uncultured bacterium. RNAcentral describes it as "partial 16S ribosomal RNA". It matches the Rfam family "Bacterial small subunit ribosomal RNA", at positions 524 to 776 of the family's 1533-position model. The record is from RNAcentral.